This is a non-coding RNA of Leptonychotes weddellii (Weddell seal), 2728 nucleotides long. NCBI's taxonomy places the organism in Eukaryota, Metazoa, Chordata, Mammalia, Carnivora, Phocidae. The record is from RefSeq and is a predicted model, not a curated record.
CAUGUUAUGCCUUUAGGAAAUAUCUUGGCACAUAGUAAGUAUUCACUAUGGUAAUGCUAAUUAUUUUGAUUAAACUGUGCAUAUCUUGUUGACUAUGUUGUGCAUAUUGUCAGGGUCUCUGCUUCAUUUUCUGAUUCACAAUUCUUCCUGGAAGAUGAAUCGAUCAUUGGAAGACAAGUCUGAGCAACGUUUUGGACUCCAUUUUUGUUUUUACUCCAGGUUGCCACAUUCAUCCUCCAGAAGAUCCUCUUAGAUGACACAGGUUUGGCAUAUAUAUGUCAGACAUACGAGCGUUUCUCCCACGUUGCCAUGAUCUUGGGUAAGAUGGUCCUGCAGCUAUCCAAAGAGCCUUCCGCCCGUCUGCUGAAGCACGUAGUGAGGUGUUACCUUCGACUCUCAGAUAAUCCCAGGGCACGUGAAGCGCUCAGGCAGUGCCUCCCUGACCAGCUGAAGGACACGACCUUCGCCCAGGUGCUAAAAGAUGACACCACCACGAAACGCUGGCUUGCACAACUGGUGAAGAACCUGCAAGAGGGCCAGGUCACCGAUCCUCGGGGGAUCCCCCUGCCCCCUCAGUGAUCCUCCCCUGCCCCCUUCUACCACUCCCCCGAGUUGGGGGUGGGGGAAUCCUCGAGGAAAACAGCUCAGGUUUUACCGCCGACCAGGAAUAGACAACCUCAAUGCUGAAGUGCACUGGAGAACAGGGGCAAGGUCGCCCCGCUGGGGUGAAUGGGCUGCCUCUGGGACCUGGGCUCCCUCCGCUCCUCCCAGGAGAUGGGCUCCUGACACAGCAGCCUGCCACCACAGCUCCAGGAGGGUGUCCACACCAGCAAAUGCUGUGUCUGCAGCAUGCCCGCGAUGGCCAUUCUCCCCAACCCGGACCGGCUGCGGGCAGGGCGGGGCCGUGGCCACGGCCGUGACCGGGACCGGGACCGUGUUAGCACGCGAGGCAUGCGCAACGCCUGGGACCAAGCCGGGUGGCGGUCUUUUAUUUUGCCUUCCUGGAAGACUCAAGACGUGUCUCUUCAUCCUCUCUCUCAGUAUUUGUUUACUUGGGUCUUUUGUUUUUGAUGUCAGAGAGAGGUGUGUUUAGUGGACACCAGCUGUAAUACUCAGCAAAACUUUGUCAAUUGGCACUGUUUACAAGUCUGUUAGCUGCAUAAGCUUAAUAAAAAGUUGGUCUGGGCAUUGCAUCCCCUCUAGCAGGCCAGUAGCUGCAUGAACUGUGGGGAGGAAUGGGAGGCAGGGGAAGGGUAAAGCCAAAGGACAACAGGACCCUGCUGCCUCUCUCCCUUCCCUUUCCGUCCUUCUGCCCCCAGUUCUGGAUGCCACAAGGACCCUCACCUUGUUUCUGGCUCUAGCUGCUAGCUCUGCCAAAUCUCAGUGCUUUUCCCUUUUUCACGUCCCUCUUAUUAAACUUCAACAGACGUCUUAAUUCAUCAGGCUGUCCUGGAAGGGUAUUGUAUUGGGGGAGGUAAAGCGGCAUGGACUUCACCUUCAAUUCCAGUCCUCAGAGAGAUUUUCUGGAUGACUUUUAAAGGUGCCUGGGAUCAAGAUGACAGGCUCCUUGAUCCCAUUCUUUAGUAUGAAUUUCCGCAGCGCCAUCUGUGUUCACGAUUGUACUUGAAGUGGUAUUAGCUGAAUGAGUUCGUUUUAUUCAGAUUUAAGAUAGAGGGUUUGACGCUGCUGCUUUGCUAUCUUUUUUUUUUUUUUUUUUUGACACAUUCCCUGUUGGUCUGUGGGAAUUACAGGGUAGCCACUAAAACACUUCCACUUGUUCAUAUUGAGUCAGAGAAUCCCCCUGCCUUCUUUGGAGCUCUAGAUGAUUCUUCACAAUCCAGAGAUUCGAAUCUGUAACACAAUGUAAACUGCCUUGCUUUCCCCCAAUCCUUCCCCCUGCCAACACCUGCUCGCUCUCUCUCUUAUCCCCAUCUCCAAAGAUGGGAUUAUUAGUCCAAUGCUAGAGAGAGACAAAGUUUCCUGUCCACAUCUCACACAAAUGAAGGUAUCUCCGAGCAAGUCUGGGGAGGCUCUGUCUGUAAGGAGCAAGCUCAGAGAAACCUUUGCAGAGGCAAAUUUGCCAACCAAGGGCUCUUUCAAGCCGACUUUCACAAAGGGGGCCGGCAUUGUUAGUUGGCUUCUGUCUCAGGAGCCGAGAAAAUAGUAAUUAAGUAGCCUAGAUGUAGGAAGGGUAGAAUAAGCACUUACUCCCCUGCCUUACAAGAUGAAGAAGAGAACCAGGUGAGCUCUCAGUCUCAAGCCUGAAGAGAAGAGGUCUUGGAGAAAGCAGAGAACACCAUGGACUGGAUAGACAUCUGGACUUCCCUCAGCCCGUAGUUUUGUGAUCUGGAGAGUCCAGCUAAGGGAUCUCUGAUUUUUGCCAACUGCCUUCCUGCUGAGCCAAAGUUUUCUCAUUCCCCCUCCACUGGGGAAGCAGCUGAGGCCCAGGGCCUUGCUCCCUGGGAAAUUCUCUUCUCCAUCUUCCGGUGCGUUGGCCAUUUUACUGUGCCAUACUGUGUCUUAAUUCCUGUUCCAUCUAUUCUCAGCUGGCCUUGGACCCUACCUAGGAGUUGGGGGAGGGAUGAAAAUGGGUAUUAUUCUAUUCCUUGUAGUUGAUCCUGAUGUCAUGUGUGUAUAAAGAGACCCCUCCCUUCAUUUUUUUGUUUUCCAUCCCUCUUACUCCCUAACAGGAUUGAAAUAAAACCUGUUUCUGUUUUUAUAAAAAUAA